This 344-nucleotide unclassified non-coding RNA is filed under the name fungal sp. RNAcentral describes it as "partial internal transcribed spacer region". The stretch from base 1 to 46 matches the Rfam family "Eukaryotic small subunit ribosomal RNA", at positions 1786 to 1831 of the family's 1831-position model. The record is from RNAcentral. Lineage: Eukaryota; Fungi.
AAGUCGUAACAAGGUUUCCGUAGGUGAACCUGCGGAAGGAUCAUUAACACGUAUCCAAACGUUAAACCCCCCUGUGCACGUUAAUCCUGCUCGCUUUCGCCUUGACAAAGCAAUCUCUGGUAAAUCAUUGCCCGAACAGAGCUGAUUCAGAGACCUCUUUCGAAACACGAAUCCAUGGAGCGGCAGAUCAAUAGGCUUGGAUCCAAGGUCGUUGGCUUACACGGUCAACGGACAAGUCUCUGGGCGUAAAGCCCCAGAUAACCAAACCCAGUAGGUGAAAGUAGUCCCGCGUAAAGUAGGGACAAAAAAACGAACAACUGUUAACAAUGGAUAUCUUGGUUCUC